Trichoplusia ni (cabbage looper) is the source of this 3296-nucleotide long non-coding RNA. RefSeq lists it as uncharacterized. The record is from RefSeq and is a predicted model, not a curated record. NCBI's taxonomy places the organism in Eukaryota, Metazoa, Arthropoda, Insecta, Lepidoptera, Noctuidae. The transcript is spliced from 5 exons.
CAACAAAGAAUGAGUAACGCAAAAGAUUACAAUCUAUAGUUCCAGAGUUUAGUAAUUGGAGAAGGAACAAAAUUAAGGGGUCAGAAUCGCUUAUGGAGUGAUAUUCAAUCAAAACAUAUUUAUUGUCAUUAUAGUUAUCGUAUAUGGUAUCAUUAGACAUAUUUUCAUAGGUAUAAGAAGAAUGAUUAAAUAUCACAGUUCGCGCUUUUGCGCCUAAAUAUUAUUGAUUGAAAUUUAACAGGAUAAGGAUGUUCGACUCGUUGCUAAAACCAUGCCGUCGACCGCCAUAAAACACACUUCCUUUUCCUGUCUUAACGGAAGUGAUUGACUGUGUCUUAGAUAAAAACAAUAUCAAGAAGUUACAUAUUGAACUUACCGAUCUCUUAUCAUUUAUAAUACGGUGUAUUAGAAAACUAUCAUUAUGUAUAUUCAAUAAAGGUGUUGAAAUAAGAAAAUAAGUUUAAUAAGGAAUAAGCUACGAACCUGCAACGAUAGUUACGAUGCUUGCGUGAAGUUCUGAAGAGCGGAGGGGGGCAGAAGAGAUGGGACCGCGUGGCCUCACACUGUUUGGCUGGGCUUCAAGGCCGCCACCGAUGUUCGCUUCCGGAGUUAAUCACUACCAGAUAUAUCCUCCUGGAGUGCACUACUUCAGCCAGAUUCAAACAGUAACUUCAAAGUGGACAUCACCGCGAUCUGCUUUUGAUCACCAAUCAUUUACAUCAAUACUUUAUUUUUGAGAAUAUAUGGACGUAUAAAAGACGCAGAACAUUCAGAACGGACACAACUACUUGACUGCUCGCUCGCCUUAAACGUACAUCUACAAAUGCAUACGAUGCAUAGCAAUGGCUGGACACACCCACAGAUCACACGUCCCUGCGGGUCGGCGCUAGUCGCCGGAGAGUUCACUCUAGUUGUGUAUGUACAACUAAUGUUUUGGCGAUCACUGGCAGAGUUUCUGUAGAUAAGAACUUGCCUCGCCUCGUAGUUAGUGUACCUAUACGUCGCAGGCGGCAGGAACUCGUGCUCCGGUGAUAACUAAAUGUGUAAACUUUUUAUAGCAGUAAUCUUGAUUACAAAAUACGAAACUAGGCUGUGCUUUUAUCGACAAUAACUUGUCUUCUGCCCAAAACAAUAUGGUCCAAAAUACUAAUUGACUUUGAUAAAAUUAAAAAUAAUAACAAAAUAAAUAUUUAUUCUUAAAUAUCCCUAAUAGUGAUGACUUGAUAAACUCACUAUCAGGACGGUGACCUCUAAGCCGGCUGUAACAAGUUGCCUUCUUAAUCUCGUAUUCACUCUAGCCAUAGUACCAGGAGCCUAGCGACUCUCUUUUAACAGUUUUUAUUUUCAUACAGCCUACUCCAUUUUGUUCCAGAGUAGAUCUGACUAGAUCACUAGUUUAUGUAUUCGGUUUCUUAGAGCUAAUAAUAAAUGUUGGGAUUUUUAAUAGGAAAGUAAGCAAUAUAAUCUUAAUCACUUAGAACUUACUGACUUGUUUUUAAUUCUGCUGAGCCGGCCGCGCGCAAGCGGGAGAGGGUCGCACCCGUGUCAUAUCAAACUUACUUUGUAUUCAUUCCCCUAUUUGUUUGCUUUACAAUAAUUAACUUCUUAAACAUUGCUAGUUAAAAAUCACACGAAUGCUCAGUGAGGUGUUCGCACGGAAUGUAAUGAACGCGUGAAAGUGCUCGGAGUGUCGGAAGCCUGGCCGCGCUCAGGAUGCGCUGUGCUUCCAAGUUUGUGGGUACCUCCCUCCCCCUACCCUCUCACACUACUUGUCAUGACGGUCAUACCACACUCAAUACAGUUAUCGUGUUUAACGAUGUCGUGGAAACUCGUCGCAACCUCUCAGAGAAGUAAGACAUUCAAUUAUUCAGGUGUGUCGAGGGGAGCGAAGACUAUUUUUAUAUCAUAGAAACAUGUACCAGCCUACUUACCUAACGAAGGAAGAAAGUAAUUCUGAAACUGCGAAAUAGACGAAUUUGGAAUCCCUUUAUCAGCAGAUUGUGUCCACUUGUUAUAAGAUAGGGAUAUUCGAAAGAUAAGGGCGGCUCGGGCUCCGUGUGGGGCCGGCAGCGGCACCAGCGCCGCGUAUCGCGCGCUCAUCACUUGCUUCACAGAAUUUUACAAUUAAGGUAGUUAAUCUAACAUGAGAAAUCCUUUUGAUUCAAUACUUUCGAACCGAGAGCCGCGCCUGGCUACAAGUCCCAGUAAGGUCAUCACUUUUAAUUUCUGCGCUAGAUUUUAAUGGUUUGUUAAUGGUAAAUGCUUAUGAUCAAAAAGAAUUAAUAUGGAACAAAAGUCGUUAAGAAUGCUUACUAACUUCUUGUAGAUGAGGUAUUCGUUUUAGUUAUACACGAUUCUCGUCACAAGAGUAUGCUGUUUAAGUAAGCUGGCAAUAAAACAUACGUAACGCGAUCCAGUGCCUAACAAACAAGUAUGAGAAUGCGGUGCGGGGCGAGGGGCGCGGGGCGCGGGGCGGGCGCUGAGCCGAGCGGGCCAUGCCGCGAUUGUAAUGUAAUUAUGUCUGUUAUGCCGGCCGAUGAUGGAAAACGUUUCACCUAAUUCUGGGGACCCUUUUCACGAAAUCUGUUUAAAUUCUAAUCAAAAUUUUACAAACUCGUGAUGGCUCGAGAAAUAGCCUUUAUCAAAAGGCAUUAACGUUCAAAUAUUGGGAGCAUGGAGCUAUGUUAUUGUGCCAGCUAUAUCAUGCCUGCACUGGAUUCUAUUAGUCACGGAGCGCAACACAGCUGCGAUCCUUUAUUUUCAAGAUGUUACUAACGUAAAAUUUAGCAAAGAACACUUUAUUUUCCUGAAGUGAUUUUGUCAGAAAAGUUAUUCCUUUAUUUGUAUGCCGGUAUGUGGUGCGCGAGGUGCGACGCUCAACUCUUAGCAGUUUAGUCAAGCGCCGGUCGAAGCAGAUCCUUUUAUGUUUCAUUUAUGAUUCAGGGCGCGGCGCAACCUUCCCGCACUAAUGUCGAGCCCCCCCCCCCGCCUCGAGCCGGCCUCGGCUGCGCCCCCUUCUCGCCCGCACGUGUCACCCACGUUACUGACCUCCGCGGGAGCUCUUUUUAUACCACAGAUUAAGUUGUUAAGGGCCGCGGCUUCAACUUGUCUCGUCAUCAUACUUACCGGAAGGUCACAAUAUUUACACAUUAUUACGCUAAAUUUUUACCUCAUAACGAUGACAUAAAUUUAUUAAUUUGAGUAAGCCCAACAAUCCUUGGCCUUUGCGUGUAUGGAAAAUACUAUUGGCGUAUUGUAAAGAACAGUCUCCGAAUGUACUCAUACUAACAGUUACA